UCCCAGACUCCUACGGGAGGCAGCAGUGGGGGAUAUUGGACAAUGGGGGGAACCCUGAUCCAGCGACGCCGCGUGAGUGAAGAAGUAUCUCGGUAUGUAAAGCCCUAUCAGCAGGGAAGAGAAUGACGGUACCUGACUAAGAAGCCCCGGCUAACUACGUGCCAGCAGCCGCGGUAAUACGUAGGGGGCGAGCGUUAUCCGGAUUUACUGGGUGUAAAGGGAGCGUAGACGGCUGGUCAAGUCUGAAGUGAAAGCCCGGGGCUUAACCCCGGAACGGCUUUGGAAACUGAGCAGCUAGAGUGCUGGAGAGGUAAGCGGAAUUCCUAGUGUAGCGGUGAAAUGCGUAGAUAUUAGGAGGAACACCAGUGGCGAAGGCGGCUUACUGGACAGUAACUGACGUUGAGGCUCGAAAGCGUGGGGAGCAAACAGGAUUAGAUACCCCGGUA
RNAcentral lists this ribosomal RNA (446 nucleotides) under uncultured bacterium. Its description in RNAcentral is "bacterial SSU rRNA". It matches the Rfam family "Bacterial small subunit ribosomal RNA", at positions 329 to 792 of the family's 1533-position model. The record is from RNAcentral.